Chenopodium quinoa (quinoa) is the source of this 2027-nucleotide long non-coding RNA. RefSeq lists it as uncharacterized. Lineage: Eukaryota; Viridiplantae; Streptophyta; Magnoliopsida; Caryophyllales; Amaranthaceae. The record is from RefSeq and is a predicted model, not a curated record. The transcript has 3 exons.
UCCCCCUACAUCACCAUUCAAUAUUUCUUGGCCCACUAUCGGCCAAACUACUUGGGCACUAGGUCCAAUGUGAGUAGGGCCUCUGCUAUCUAUUCUUUCACGAUUCAGUUCAACUUGAGAGGGUUUUGGUACUAGUGAAUUGUAGCCUUCAGUUGGGUUUGCCAAAGGGCUAAUUUGAACUUAGUGAAUCAAAGCUGUUAGUUUAUCAACUAGACUUGCUCACUUCAGUUUCAAUGACAAGCUUUGGGAGGGUUUUAAAGGCAUGAGUAAUCACUACCCUUUCAAAACCCAGAAGUCACGUUACUGUUAUAAUUCUACAGUGUAAUGACCCUUUUACCCUUGCUUCAUUUUUUUUUCUUUUUCUUAUUUUCCUUGUUAAUUGACUCUGGUCUUCAACUUCAAUUGCUUUUUCCCCUUUUCAUGCUCCACCGUUCAUUUCUGCCUUUUGGUUUCUCUCUCCUUUGAACCAAUCUUUCUCACUCCAUCUCUCCUUUUUCUUUCUGCCAUAUGCUUUCUCACUUACCCAAGAGCGGUGGUGAAUCUCUCCGAUCCUCCAUUGAAGGAACUUCUAAGCAGCUUGCGAGAGUGCUUAGUGCUUUUGAUGCAUUGAGGAUUGGAUAUCAUAUAUUCAGCCACUAUGGAUGAAGGGGGCCGAGAAUGUGGCUCCUGUUAGUCAAGUAAAGGAUAUAUAUUCGAGUCCAAGGUAAAGAAAGUGAAAAUUUGGUGGAGAGCUGCAAUGUACUGGAACCACUAGGGAGGGUUGCUCUUAGGGAAGGGGAUAUCCGAAGGAGCUCAGUCCAACAAUUUGUGGAUAUAUUAGGUUCAAACGAUGUCAAUAGUGAUGUAGAUGUAGUGGAAAUUCUCCGAGAUACAUGUACAAGUUACCACGAAAGUGGGGAGAUCAGAGUUCGUGAUUAGAUGAUGCUAAUGUGGAUUAGAUGAUACAGAGCAAUGAAAAGUGGGGAGAUCAGAGAUCAGAGUUCAGGAUUAGAUGAUACAGAGCAAUGAAUUUGAGGAUAUAUCUCGCUUAUUGGAUUAGCUAGGCAAAUAAAAUAUAAGGAGUAUAUGUUAUUGCCCCGUGCUUCAGAUUUUGAAAAUGGCUUUGACAUAGAGGUCAGAACUAGGAAAGGCCAAAACAAGUGGUUCAGUUUCCAAGGAAAUUGAUGAAAAUACUGAACUCGAGGAAGUUUCAUGUGUGAUAAUGAUCCUUUUGUACAAUGUGUGGUUCAGAGAAGACUUGGAGGUGCAUAAGAGGAUGCAAGCUACAUUCUCUUAAGGUUUCUUUUUGUGGCUUUACAAUUUCAUGAGAUAGUUGCUAUUUAUUUCUAUGAUUUCUAGCAUCUAUAACUUAUUUCUCUUUGACAUUUUUGGUCACUCCAAAUAUCUAUGACAUUUUUGGGAAAUCUACAUGGUAAAAAAAAUAUCAGUGUUCUGUCAUUGUCACGAGUCUCAUAUAUACUAUUACAUUGAGGUGAUUAAUUUCCAACUCCUCUUUCAAACGUUUUCCCAAGAUUUCAUAUUGUUGUAACACAAGUUGUGUUUAUGUUAGCAAUGGACCCCAUAAAUUUUCUUAUUUUUUUUUGUACACAAGUUGUCUUUGUUGUGUAUAUAUAUGAUGCUUUAGAUUGAUCUGACAUGUAUGUGAUGUCCCCUUAUUCAUCUAUUCCAACAUUUUAAAGUCAUUGAUACGUUACUCAGUGAUCCAAAAUCCGGUCUUUUCUUGCUAAUAACAAGGUGUUGACCGUGACGUUUCUUUUCUUGUAGUUGUUUUUUUUGUUCGUAGUACGUUGGUUUAGUGUAUAUGUAACUCUGGUUUUGUAGGUCUUCAUUAAUCUGCAAAUAUAGUUUGCCUCAGGUUAUAAGGUUAUUAUGAAAUGUGAAUGGUUGAGCCUCACAAGGUUAUUAUUGUGUAAACAUUGCUUUGUACCUAAGGAGGGCAUUUGAUCUUUGAUUGUUUAGGAGCAAAUUUUCUUCCAUUUUGCUAUUUUACUGAAUUGUUUACUCUUUUUUACCAAAAUGCUUUUGUU